AUCAUAGUCAAAAUCUGAGUUUGAUCCUAGCUCAGAAGGAACACUAGCUAUAUGCUUAACACAUGCAAGUCGAACGUUGUUUUCGGGGAGCUGGGCAGAAGGAAAAGAGGCUCCUAGCUAAAGUUGUCUCGCCCUGCUUCAAAACUACAGGGCGCGCGCUACGGCUUUGACCUAACGGCCUCCGUUUGCUGGAAUCGGAAUAGUUGAGAACAAAGUGGCGAACG
RNAcentral lists this ribosomal RNA (224 nucleotides) under Thinopyrum bessarabicum. RNAcentral describes it as "partial 18S ribosomal RNA". The record is from RNAcentral. Lineage: Eukaryota; Viridiplantae; Streptophyta; Magnoliopsida; Poales; Poaceae.